RNAcentral lists this transfer RNA (73 nucleotides) under Stegodyphus mimosarum. It matches the Rfam family "tRNA". Rfam says of the family: Transfer RNA (tRNA) molecules are approximately 80 nucleotides in length. The record is from Rfam by way of RNAcentral. Lineage: Eukaryota; Metazoa; Arthropoda; Arachnida; Araneae; Eresidae.
GACUUCGUAGUGUAAUGGUCAGCAUGCUCGACGCGUAAUCGAGAGGUCCGUGGUUCGAUUCCCGGCAAAGGCG